Molecule: ribosomal RNA, 468 nt
Filed under: uncultured bacterium
Lineage: Bacteria
Description: partial 16S ribosomal RNA
Rfam family: Bacterial small subunit ribosomal RNA
Source: RNAcentral
GACGAACGCUGGCGGCGUGCUUAACACAUGCAAGUCGAACGGAAAGGCCCUGCUUUUGUGGGGUGCUCGAGUGGCGAACGGGUGAGUAACCCGUGAGUAACCUGCCCUUGACUUUGGGAUAACUUCAGGAAACUGGGGCUAAUACCGGAUAGGAGCUCCUGCUGCAUGGUGGGGGUUGGAAAGUUUCGGCGGUUGGGGAUGGACUCGCGGCUUAUCAGCUUGUUGGUGGGGUAGUGGCUUACCAAGGCUUUGACGGGUAGCCGGCCUGAGAGGGUGACCGGCCACAUUGGGACUGAGAUACGGCCCAGACUCCUACGGGAGGCAGCAGUGGGGAAUAUUGCACACUGGGCGGAAGCCUGAUGCAGCAACGCCGCGUGUGGGAUGACGGCCUUCGGGUUGUAAACCGCUUUCGCCUGUGACGCAGCGUGAGUGACGGUAAUGGGUAAAGAAGCACCGGCUAACUACGUG